GGCACUUACCCUCCUUCCUGCAACGAUGUGAAGAAGGACAAGUUUGCUUCCCCUUCUGCCAUGAUUGUAAGAAGACUGGUGGUGCUGCUGGAAUAAAAGGAGUGAUGGAAGACAGGUGAGGGUGUGAGGAGAAAAGAUUUGGUGAAUCACAGUUAUGUUUCCUGGCAUUAAAUCACCCUUGAAUAUUUCUAUAAUAAAUGAAAUUCAAUAGGGCCUGAAAAGGGGGUCAACCAAGUACUGCGACUUUCACAAUAAAAUGAAUCAAAGCUCUCAUGAGUUCAUAACCUGAGCCAAAGAAAAAGGAAAGUCAUAUUACAAUAAGAAGAAUGCCCCCCAUGGAGGACCCAUCACUGCCAUACAGCAGCAAGAAAGGCGAGAUGAGCACAAUGGUGUAUGUAACACUGCUCUACGCCGACAGAUGUCCCAUUGCAACUCCUGAGACUUGGAGGCCAAAUGUUUUCUCUACCGACAUUCUAUGCCCUCAGGAAUUCCUCCACAAAUCCAGAUCUUACACACAGCAUAUUAUUUGUCUGACUCCAGAAUGUGAAUAUGGUCUGCUAAUUUUUAUGCUGUACCCUGCUUUUAAUAAAUGUUUACAUUACAUAUUUAAAUAUGAAUAUUAAAGAA
Long non-coding RNA from Homo sapiens (human), 627 nucleotides. The record is from Ensembl. Lineage: Eukaryota; Metazoa; Chordata; Mammalia; Primates; Hominidae.